GAUGAACGCUGGCGGCGUGCCUAAUACAUGCAAGUCGAGCGAACAGACUAGGAGCUUUCUCCUUGGACGGUAGCGGCGUACGGGUGAGUAACACGUAGGUAACCUACCUAUAAGACUGGGGUAACUUCGGGAAACCUGGGCUAAGACCGGAGAAGAUUUCGAACCGCAUGCUUCCAUAGUGAAAGGGUGCUGUGCUAUCACUUAUAGAUGGACCAGCGCCAUAUUAGCUAGUUGGUAAGGUAACGGCUUACCAAGGCAACGAUGCUUACCCGACCUAAGAGGGUCAAUGAGCACCCUAGCAGUGAGAGACGGCCCACACACCUAGGGGAAGACGCAGUCGGGACUCUUACGCAAUGGGCGAAAGCCUGACGGAGCACAGCGGCGUGAGCGCUGAAGCUCUUCGGCUCCUAAAGCGCUGUUAUUGGGCACGAACAAACGCGCAAGUAACUGUGAACGUAGUGACGGUACCUAAUCAGAAAGCCCCGGCUAACUACGUG
RNAcentral lists this ribosomal RNA (497 nucleotides) under uncultured bacterium. RNAcentral describes it as "partial 16S ribosomal RNA". It matches the Rfam family "Bacterial small subunit ribosomal RNA", at positions 28 to 507 of the family's 1533-position model. The record is from RNAcentral.